Arabidopsis lyrata subsp. lyrata is the source of this 1544-nucleotide long non-coding RNA. RefSeq lists it as uncharacterized. The transcript is spliced from 3 exons. NCBI's taxonomy places the organism in Eukaryota, Viridiplantae, Streptophyta, Magnoliopsida, Brassicales, Brassicaceae. The record is from RefSeq and is a predicted model, not a curated record.
AAUAUUUCGUUUUUUAAUAUUAAAAUAUGGAAUAUUUCGUUUUUUAAUUUUUAUAAAAAGUUAAGAUAGAUAUUAAAAUAUCUUACGAAUAUUUGUAUCAAGAAAUUUUCCAAUUUUAAAAAAUAAAUUUUUAGAGAUAAUUAUGACAGUGUGCCCUAGAUUUUAAGCUAUAAAUAUAGAGCCGCAGCCACACCAUUAGAACUCAGAUUCGUUAGCCUAAACAUAUCGUUUUGAUAUUAUAGCUUUUUUUUUUGUUGCUUUGGUUCUUUUAUGGAUCGAUUUUUUUAUUUUGCGUUAUUAUUUUUUACUUUUUCUUGAGGUUAUAUUUGUAUUGUUAUUAUCUUGGUCUAUGAAUUAUUAAGAUUGUUAUUGUUUUGCUGAUUUGUAUCGUGUGAAUUAUGUUUUAGGUAACCGCUCAUGGGAGUUUCUAUCAAGAGAUUGAAUGAACGAGUUGAUGAAGACAUGCCUCUUCAUUAAAUUCAUUAACAAACUUUUUACAUCAAUCGCGGAGCAUUGCGCUGAUGCGGAAGUGAUUUACAAGUUUUUGGAGGUCAAUGAGAUUGAUAAGCUCGGGAAAAACAGAGUUCUCUAAAACGAUAUCGGUCGAGAUUGCAUAGGUAUGUCUAUCGUGAUGAAAUUGUUAAAUAGAUACUGGGCUUCUAAGCAAUUCUAUCACUUUGAAUCCUUGUAAUCGUGAGAGAAAAGUUUAGGGUUUGAUUGUUUCAGUUUUGAUUAGUGAAUUGAAAGAUGCCGCAAUUUCCACAUAUGAUUUUUACGUUCAAUCAUAAUUUGGAUGUGUGGAAAUUAAUACUUGAAUCGAUGGAGAGAAGAUUACAACUGACGUGUGAGUUAAUUUGUGUAUUUUAUGGUACAUGUUUUCGUCAUGGAUCAAAAAGUUCAAUCCCAUCUUUAUAGGAGUUAGGCUUUCAUCUAACCUCUUUUAUAUUUGAUAGAUUGUUUGUUGUGUUAUUUUUUUAAUUUUAGAUUCAAAUAUAUAUUUUUUAAUUUCAGUUUUAGGCGACUAAAGGAUUGAAUAUGCUAUGAAUAUGUAAUUUUAUAUUCUUUUGUUUAUUUAAUUGCCAUUAACCUAUUUUGACUUUAAUUUAUAUGUUUUAUUAUGAGAGAUAGGAAAAAUAGCUAUCCUAUUUUGACUUUAAUUUAUAUGUUUUAUUAUGAGAGAUAGGAAAAAUAGCUGAUCAGUGAUUUUUGGUUGUCGGAGACUUUGAUCCGAAUGAGCGACGGUGAUGAAAAUAUGAGUGGUGGAUAGAGACGCAAGGGAUCGGUGAAGUUGUUUAAUACACACAAGGGGUUUGGUUUCAUCACACCAGACGACGGUGGUGAGUGGUGACGAUCUCUUCGUUCACCAGUCCAUUAGCUCUGAAAAAUUUCGUAGCCUUGCCGUUGAUGAAGCUGUUGAGUUCAAGGUUGAGGUUGACAACGCCAGUCGUCUGAAGACUGUUGAAGUUUCUGGACCCGAGGGUGCUCCUGUUCAGUGAAAUAACGGCGGUUCAUCUGGUGGAUGUGGUGGUUUUGGCUGUGGAGGU